CUCUCUCUCUCUCUCUCUCUCUCUCUCUCUCUCUCUCUCUCACUUCCAAGCCCUAGCUCUUCAACCCAUUUUUUCCCUUCCCGUUCGUAUUUCUCUUUAAUAUUCGCUAAUUUCUUCCUUUAUUGUUCUGAGAUCACCAAUCGUUAUGAUCCCCACCCACAGUCCUAACUGUAGCUACUCGAAUCCGUCGUCUGAGAGCACAAUGAUGACAACGACGCUGGUGGGAUUCUAGGGACUCUGAACGAGUGACGCUCUUUGGAACCUAAAGAACCUGGUUGAUACAUUCUCCUUCUCCUCCGAGAUCUCAAUCGGCGUCCUCUCAUGUAUUUUUGUCUCUUUCGUUUGAUGAAGAUCUUGGGAUGUAAUUGCAGUGGUUCCGUACAGAAGAAGAAUGAAUGUGACAAGAAGAGGAAUAUGAAGAUUUGUGUGAUUGGCAAGUAAAGAAAAGAUGAAUGAAGAGGUAGACAGAGAUCUGGUGUGUCCGGGUGCAACACCAUCAGAGCACUUCUAAUAGCAUGAGUUUUUCUAACUCCUUGUUGCUCCCAUUCAGUGGUUCCGAUAAAACGUCCGGAUCAGGACUCUACUAUUUAUCAGCUUGCUUUUCAUGUUGGACUCAAAGGGCAUUAUAGUGGGAGCAAUGAAGAAGAGUAUUUUAUUCACAACCAUUUGGCAUUUACUAUCAAGUAUCACAGAGAUUUGCUAAUUGAAUCUGCUAGAAUUGUGGGCUUUUAGGUGAAGCCAUUCAGUUGACAAACCCCAUUUUGACGGUUUAUCUUGUAUUGAUUUUAAGGGGUUUUAUGACCUUUUACCCACAUUUAUUCAAUGAAAUAGCAUGGUUUUAUAACUUCUCCCUUAAUUGUGCUUAAGAGUGAAAACAUGCUUUUUAGGACUUAAAAUAGCUAAAUCUAAUUCUCCUUGAUUCCAUUAGAUGCCUUGAUAUGUUUGUUAAGUGAUUUAAGGUUUAGGAGGCAAAGAUUGGAUCAAGGGAAUGAAGAAAGAAGGCAUGAAAAGUUGGAGAACUCAUGAAGAAAUGAAAGAACCGGAAAGCUAUCAAGCGGACCUCUUCACACUUAAACGACCAUAACUUGAGCUACAGAGGUCCAAAUGAUGCGGUUCCAUUUGGGUUGGAAAGCUAACAUCCGGGGCUUCGAAAUGAUAUAAAUUUUGCCAUAUGUUGCUUCGUGUUCAGGGGCGCGCACGCGCACUUUGCGCGCGCGCGCCGAUUCUGUCCGUGGCCCACUCUAAUGAAAUCGUCCCCAGCGGUUUUAGGAGCCUUGUGGGCCCAAUCCAACUCAUUUCUGAUGCUAUUUAAGUCAAGGAUUGAAGAGGGAUGAGACAUGUUAGUUACCAUUAGUUUAGUUUAGUAGUUAGAAUUAGUUUCUAGAGAGAGAAGCUCUUACUUCUCUCUAGAAUUAGGAUUAGGAUUGGGAUUAGUUCUUAGAUCUAGGUUUUAAUCUUUGCUUUCUUCUACUUCUACAUCUCAAUUCCUUGUUGUUAGAUUCAUUCUUCUUCCAUUCUUUUAUGUUGUUCUUACACUUUGUUGUAGAUCUACUAUUGUUCCUUCCAUUUCCUUUCAAUUCAAUAAGAGGUAAUUCAUAAUAA
Molecule: long non-coding RNA, 1602 nt
Organism: Arachis duranensis
Lineage: Eukaryota; Viridiplantae; Streptophyta; Magnoliopsida; Fabales; Fabaceae
Exons: 6
Source: RefSeq, a predicted model, not a curated record